AUUGAACGCUGGCGGCAGGCCUAACACAUGCCAGUCGAGCGGAUGAAGGGAGCUUGCUCCUGGAUUCAGCGGCGGACGGGUGAGUAAUGCCUAGGAAUCUGCCUGGUAGUGGGGGCUAACGUCCGUAAACGGGCGCUAAUACCGCAUACGACCUGAUGGAGAACGUGGGGGAUCUUCGGACCUAACGGUAUCAGAUGAGCCUAGGUCGGAUUAGCUAGUUGGUGGGGUAAAGGCCUACCAAGGCGACGAUCCGUAACUGCUCUGAGAGGAUGAUCAGACACACUGGAACUGAGACACGGUCCAGACUCCUACGGGAGGCAGCAGUGGGGAAUAUUGGACAAUGGGCGAAAGCCUGAUCCAGCAAUGCCGCGUGUGUGAAGAAGGUCUUCGGAUUGUAAAGCACUUUAAGUUGGGAGGAAGGGAAGUAAGUUAAUACCUUGCUGUUUUGACGGUACCAACAGAAUAAGCACCGGCUAACUUCGUG
Molecule: ribosomal RNA, 484 nt
Filed under: uncultured bacterium
Lineage: Bacteria
Description: partial 16S ribosomal RNA
Rfam family: Bacterial small subunit ribosomal RNA
Source: RNAcentral